This 436-nucleotide long non-coding RNA is filed under the name Pan troglodytes (chimpanzee). RNAcentral's name for it is "long non-coding RNA NONPTRT013368". Lineage: Eukaryota; Metazoa; Chordata; Mammalia; Primates; Hominidae. The record is from RNAcentral.
AGGCAUGGACUGUGAGAUGGGACUGUGAGGUAUGUGACCAUGGGGUGUGGGCUGUGAGGUAUCAACCCUGAGUGUGAGGUGUGGACUGUGAGGUGUGACUGUGAGGUGUGGACUGUGAGGUGUGGACUGUGAGGUAUGACUGUGAGGUGUGGACCGUGAGGUGUGACUGUGAGGUGUGACCAUGAGGCAUGGACUGUGAGAUGGGACUGUGAGGUAUGUGACCAUGGGGUGUGGGCUGUGAGGUAUCAACCCUGACUGUGAGGUGUGACUGUGAGGUGUGGACUGUGAGGUGUGACUGUGAGGUGUGGACCGUGAGGUGUGACUGUGAGGUGUGACUGUGAGGUGUGGACCGUGAGGUGUGACUGUGAGGUGUGACUGUGAGGUGUGGACUGUGAGGUGUGACUGUGAGGUGUGGACUGUGAGGUGUGGACUGUGA